RNAcentral lists this unclassified non-coding RNA (272 nucleotides) under Hevea brasiliensis (rubber tree). Lineage: Eukaryota; Viridiplantae; Streptophyta; Magnoliopsida; Malpighiales; Euphorbiaceae. The record is from RNAcentral.
GGCAAACCCCUUGAGAUCAAUCUGGUCACCACCUAUUCUUCGGAGGUUUUACUUUGUAAAUACGAACUAUCCAGUUUGCCGUUGUGAACGCUUCCUCCAAGAACUCAAGCUUCACAUCUUUAUUUCCAAUUUCCACACCCCUUGCACGGUCAUACCCUGGGGGCUUCCCAUAUUCGGUGGUUAGUUCUCCAAACCGAUAGUAAGAAAGCUUGUACAUGAGACAGUUCAACAUCUUUGGUGCUGCUCCCUUGUCAACACGAUACUCGCCAUUA